AAUAUCCACUUUAUAGAGACCCACACCUAUCACAAAACUCCAAAGUACACCAAUUCAUCUUCCUUUCAACUUUCCCACCUACAGCGACCAACGACUCAUUCCAUCCGUUUUCCGGUGACCGGCGACCAGCGAGGCAGCAACCUCAAGCAGCAGCAGCAGCCACCAGUCAACCAGCAGGCAUCGACACUACGGUAGGCGGCACUAGUCAGCACAGCCGACUUCCGGCGGGGGGGCGACCACCAAUCCACCAUCAAUCCCACUAAAAGGUCUAAUAUGUCUCAACAAAGGGCAACAAGGGUGCGGACUCAAGAAGAGGAACUCACUGUUGUUGGUGGAUUAAAAAAGUUGUGUGCUGAUGAUUGGAAAGAAGAUAAUGACACCUUUAAAGAUGGAUAUUUGAUUUAAUUAGAACAACACAUGAAUGUUGGUCAUCCGAAUUGCGGAUUGCAAGCUAUACCAAAGAAUUUUCAAAAAAAAUAAGAGGGUGGAAAAAGCAUUAUAUGACCAUAUAGGUUGUAAAAAGUCGAAGUGACUUAGGAUUUCGAUAUAUCGAUGGAACUAUCUUAGUUGACGAUCCAAAAUCUUGGGAUGACUUCAUAAAGAACUAGAGCAAGAGGAAAGUAUUUGGAAAGGGAAGAAUCAAGUUUCUUAGGGGAUUCAAGGCUUGUUCGAGGCGGGUUAAUGUUGGUGUCACUUACGACGGUCUGGAUCGUGAAAAAGUUUGUAUCAUAGCCUAGGUUCAUUGAUCUCGAUGUACCAAAACAAGUCUAGCAGAGUUGCUGAACGACACAAAAAUGCCUGUAAUUUUCUUCAAGAGGCCACAUGACUUUAGAAAAUCUCUUUAUUUUCUAUUGUCUCCUUUCGUGCUAUAACUUUGUUCCAACUGGUUUCUGGUAAUACAAAUUGGUAUCUAAUCUCCUUCAUUCUUCUGUGCUCGAGAAGGUUAAAACUAGAUUCAACGCGUGAGACCCGUAGCUCUCGUCAAUGAACCAACUGUGGGUCGCAACCAGAGGUUUCGGUCAAGGCAGGGACAGAGGAAGAGGCAAAGGCUGAAGAUGGGUUGCACUUACUUGGAGUGGAGAACCAGUUGUGAAUGCAACUAGAGGUGAUGUUCCUCCCUCACAUCAUGAAGAGGUAGAGAAAAUGUGGAUAAUGGAGACGAGGAGGAUGUUGGAUAGGAAGAGGAUACACCAACUGGGAAUACUGGCGUCCCUCCCUUAGAUCCAAUGUUAUCUUAGAAUAUCAUGACUUUUCUUAAGGGAUUGGUUGGUCAUGGAAUCCUUCAAGCAGGGCAAACAACUCAACCCCCAAUUAAUCACCUUGCUACUAUUACUUGUCUAAGGGGAGAUACGACAUUAUGUAUUUAUUUUUUUUCGUCCUUUGUUGGGUCGUAUGAUGAUUGGGAAUGAGCAUGACAUAUUUUUCAAACUAAAGCAUCCAGUGUUUCUUGGUUUUGAAAAUGAGGAUGCUUAUGAGUUUAUUUUA
Solanum lycopersicum (tomato) is the source of this 1485-nucleotide non-coding RNA. The record is from RefSeq and is a predicted model, not a curated record. NCBI's taxonomy places the organism in Eukaryota, Viridiplantae, Streptophyta, Magnoliopsida, Solanales, Solanaceae.